GAUGAACGCUGGCGGCGUGCCUAAUACAUGCAAGUCGAACGCGCCGAGAAGGGAACUUGUUCCUUUCAACGCGAGUGGCGAACGGGUGAGUAACACGUGGGAAACCUACCCUUAAGCGGGGGAUAACCAUCGGAAACGAUGACUAAUACCGCAUAGUUGUCCCAGUCGCAUGACCGGCAUGGGACAGACGGCUUCGGCUGUUACUGGAGGAUGGUCCCGCUGCGCAUUAGCUAGACGGUGGGGUAACGGCCUACCGUGACUUUGAGGAAUAGCCGCCCUCAGAGGGUGAUCGCCGACAUUGGGACUGGGGCACGGCCCGAACUACUGGGGGAGGCACCAGUAGGGAAUCUUCCGCAAUGGACGCAAGUCUGACGGAGCAACGCCGCGUGUGUGAAGAAGGUCUUCGGAUCGUAAAACUCUGUUAUCAGAGAAGAAUAGCCUAUAGAGUAACUGUUAUAAGUUUGACGGUAACUGAUCAGAAAGCCACGGCUAACUACGUG
This 500-nucleotide ribosomal RNA is filed under the name uncultured bacterium. RNAcentral's name for it is "partial 16S ribosomal RNA". It matches the Rfam family "Bacterial small subunit ribosomal RNA", at positions 28 to 507 of the family's 1533-position model. The record is from RNAcentral.